ACAAUGAAGCGUGUGAUCCUGGCUCAGGAUGAACGCUAGCGACAGGCCUAACACAUGCAAGUCGAGGGGCAUCGGGGUGGCAACACCGCCGGCGACCGGCGCACGGGUGCGUAACGCGUAUGCAACCUGUAGCACAGAGGGGGAUAGCCCGCCGAAAGGCGGAUUAAUACCCCGUAAC
Molecule: ribosomal RNA, 178 nt
Filed under: Bacteroidales bacterium
Lineage: Bacteria; Pseudomonadati; Bacteroidota; Bacteroidia; Bacteroidales
Description: partial 16S ribosomal RNA
Rfam family: Bacterial small subunit ribosomal RNA
Source: RNAcentral